GGAAGUAAAAGCCGUAACAAGGUUUCCGUAGGUGAACCUGCGGAAGGAUCAUUAUUGUAUAACCGAGGUGCGAGGGCUGUCGCUGACCCGAAAGGUCGUGCACGCCCGAGUGCCCUCACACACAUCCAUCUCACCCCUAUGUGCACCACCGCGUGGGUCCCCCUUUGGCUUGUUCGGAGGGGGGCUUACGUUUUCACACAAACUUUGUAUGCAGUGUAGAAUGUAUUUUUUGUUUUUGCGAUCACGCAACCAAUACAACUUUCAACAACGGAUCUCUUGGCUCUC
RNAcentral lists this unclassified non-coding RNA (285 nucleotides) under plant metagenome. Its description in RNAcentral is "partial contains small subunit ribosomal RNA, internal transcribed spacer 1, and 5.8S ribosomal RNA". The stretch from base 1 to 54 matches the Rfam family "Eukaryotic small subunit ribosomal RNA", at positions 1778 to 1831 of the family's 1831-position model. The record is from RNAcentral.